Molecule: long non-coding RNA, 539 nt
Organism: Anguilla rostrata (American eel)
Lineage: Eukaryota; Metazoa; Chordata; Actinopteri; Anguilliformes; Anguillidae
Exons: 2
Source: RefSeq, a predicted model, not a curated record
AAUCCACAAGUGUCAGACUGCAGAAUGAAAAAACAUCUGCAAAUCAAUUUAUUCGCCCCCAGGGGAAAAUUAAAUCCAGGGAAUGAAUUUUGUUGGCCAUAUGUUUGAAGUGUUUAGAACUGUGCCUCAUUAGGAUUAUUAGCAUGAGUAUGUGUGUUAACUACAGCACAUCCAACUGAAGACAGUCUCAAGGCCCUGCAUAGACUUCCAUCAACUUCCAUCCACCAUAAGGCAGUCUGGCUGAGGGUAAAACAGGCUGGCAAGUUUCGGGCAGGUCCUAACAGGGAGUCUGGAAGAAACAAUAGAAAAAAAUAAUUUUCCCCUGGUUCCUGGCUGCAUUGUUUAGUGUUAUCUCUGUUAAAUAAUGUUGUAAUCAUUUAAAAGUAUAAGAGUAAAUAGGCUCCUCUCAACUCUGAGUGGCAACCCAGUUACAGACUUUUUCUCUCUAUGUAUAGUUUGGUCAGAGUUUUAAAACUUGGUGGAAACUUGUAGAACAGCACUUCAAUUAAAUAAAUCCUUUUGUUUGUAUGCAAUUUAAA